CUUUAUCCCCAGGCCCGAUCCACCUCUGUCGCCGCACCAGGCCACACACCCACCGCACUCCACCGCCCCGCGCCGCCAUCCGCCUGGCCGCCGCCGCCGCCCCCGUGCCGCCAUCCACCUGGCCGCCGCCGCCCCCGUGCCACCAUCCACCUGGCCGCCGCCGCCACCACACCGACAUCCAACCGCGCUGCCGCCGGAGUCCGGACCACCAACCGUGCCGCCGCCAGAGUCCCGACCUUCAAGCGCGCCGCCGCCGAGCCCAGACCACCAAUGGUGGCACCGCCGGAGACCCAACCUCCAACCUCAACGCCACCAGGCCCCGAUAACAAAAGCGUGCCAUCACCACGCCCACGACCCGCGUCGCCGGCGCCCCUCCUCCGCGGCCGGCGCUCUCCCAACCCAUGGUCGACACCCAUCCUCUUCUGCGACCAACGCCCUCCCUCCCCGCGGCCGGCGCGCUCCUUCCCCGCGGCCGACGGGCCUCCAGCUCUGUGGCCGGCGCAGUCCCUCCUCGCUGCAGCUUGCCCCUCCUCCAUGGAUGGCCUGCACCGGCUGCCGGAACUCGUUGAGGUGGUACCCUUAACCCUCGACCUUCAAUUACAGGUCACUAACGACACUACAAAGAGAAAGGGCCCUGCGAAGUUCAGUUUUUUGAUUUUCUGAAGUUUAGUUUGUUGAUUUUCUGAAGAAAUAGGUUCCUUCACUUGCACUCCUCUAACUAGUCCUGUGGGGUGAUCUCCUCGACUCCUAGGUUCGGCACAAAGUAAGAAUUGUAAGCAUCUUCUGAGUUUAUAAUGCUUGAAAUUACAGUACGGGAUUAUAUAACAUUCUAGGUGGAAUUGGUCAAUGUUGUUCCCUAUAGUUGUAUAGUAUCCAGAUCAAUCGUCGAUUCCUAUUCUCUAACUGAUUUUGAUGUCUGAAGUUCAACUGUAUAUGCAGGAGCAAAAAACUGUUGUUUUUGGUUCAUUAGUUUCAGUUUCACAGGUUGGUUUUCUUCUCAUUUUAUCUCCAAAAAUGCAUCAACAAGGAUCGACGGCAGUCCGGGAUCUGCGAAGACGAGGGAUGCUAUUUUGGGUUUGCUUUUGUGAAUCAGCAUCACCGCAUUACACACCACACCGCCCACCAGCAGUACGUGUCUCUCUCCAUUGUCCUUCUCUCUUUAUCCUUUCUCUCUCACUCUCUCACGCGGGACACGGCGCUUCCAUGGCGGCCCCGAGGACGAUGAGAGCCAUGCAGUACGACAAGUAUGGCGGUGGAGCUGAAGGCCUCAAGGUACAUGCUCGUCGCCAUAACGAGCUAUCUCCAAACAGACUUGACAGGCCUCGUGUAAGGUUCAAUGACCGAAAGGUGAGGUUCAGACGCUGCCGCGAUCCGUGCGACGUGUGGCUCGGAGAACUUCUUGCAUUCCUACUAGAGUGAAACCGUUGGUGCUCAGGAUCAUACUUCGGUAGUUCAACCAUGCAUACAACGAGAUGAAAAGGUUGCUAUGAUAUUACUAUAUGCAUCAGCGUCACCUGCCAGAAGUGAUCUGCAAACUCUUGAGACUUGGCCACACAUGGCUGGAUGGCAUCCUUGCAAGCUCUGUAGGCUGUGACGAUCCUGGCAGCUACCGGCUUAGUGCUGUUCUUCAGUGAGUUGAAAUGAAAUUUGGCAACAGGCAACAGUUUCUUCAUGAAGCAAGAGAUGGCGUGUCAGAGUGUUUCACAAAAAGGAGAGGACGAGUGUUGGUUGAGAACAUUAGCCUACAUUUUUUGUUGCCUGCAAGUGUGGUUCCACCUGUCUUUGUGCAUGUGGCAAAGUCUCAGCAACCUGUCCACUUGACUUUGUAAGACAGUGGUGGUUGCAUUUAUAAAUACUAGCAAGGAACACUUGAUAUUUAACUAAG
RNAcentral lists this ribosomal RNA (1885 nucleotides) under Triticum aestivum (bread wheat). Its description in RNAcentral is "partial small subunit ribosomal RNA". Lineage: Eukaryota; Viridiplantae; Streptophyta; Magnoliopsida; Poales; Poaceae. The record is from RNAcentral.